CCUACGGGAGGCAGCAGUAGGGAAUCUUCCACAAUGUGCGCAAGCCUGAUGGAGCAACACCGCGUGAGUGAAGAAGGGUUUCGGCUCGUAAAGCCCUGUUGUUGGAGAAGAACGUGCGUGAGAGUAACUGUUCACGCAGUGACGGUAUCCAACCAGAAAGUCACGGCUAACUACGUGCCAGCAGCCGCGGUAAUACGUAGGUGGCAAGCGUUAUCCGGUUUUAUUGGGCGUAAAGCGAGCGCAGGCGGUCGCUUAGGUCUGAUGUGAAAGGCUUCGGCUUAACCGAAGAAGUGCAUCGGAAACCGGGCGACUUGAGUGCAGAAGAGGACAGUGGAACUCCAUGUGUAGUGGUGGAAUGCGUAGAUAUAUGGAAGAACACCAGUGGCGAAGGCGGCUGUCUGGUCUGCAACUGACGCUGAGGCUCGAAAGCAUGGGUAGCGAACAGGAUUAGAUACCCUUGUAGUC
This 465-nucleotide ribosomal RNA is filed under the name uncultured bacterium. RNAcentral's name for it is "partial 16S ribosomal RNA". It matches the Rfam family "Bacterial small subunit ribosomal RNA", at positions 338 to 795 of the family's 1533-position model. The record is from RNAcentral.